GAUGAACGCUGACAGAAUGCUUAACACAUGCAAGUCGAUGGGGCAGUGGUGCUUGCACCAUGGUAACCAUGUAGGACGGGUGAGUAACGCGUAAGGAACUUGCCUGCGGGACUGGGAUAACAGCAGGAAACUGCUGAUAAUACCGGCUAAGGUCAUUAAGCUGCAUAGCUUAGUGAUGAAAGGAGACGCCUGCGGAGAGCCUUGCGUCCUAUUAGCUAGUUGGAGGGGUAACGGCCGACCAAGGCGAAGAUAGGUAGCCGGCCUGAGAGGGUGGACGGCCACAAGGGGACUGAGGUACGGCCGUUACUCCUACGGGAGGCAGCAGUGGUGAAUAUUGGACAAUGGGGGCAAACCUGAUCCAGCAAUUCUGUGGGCACGAAGACGGUUUUCGGAUUGUAAAGUGCUUUCAGCAGGGAAGAAGGAAGUGACGGUACCUGCAGAAGAAGCGACGGCUAAAUACGUG
RNAcentral lists this ribosomal RNA (463 nucleotides) under uncultured bacterium. RNAcentral describes it as "partial 16S ribosomal RNA". It matches the Rfam family "Bacterial small subunit ribosomal RNA", at positions 28 to 507 of the family's 1533-position model. The record is from RNAcentral.